CAGUCGCCACGGGAAUACGGAGGGUGCAAGCGUUAAUCGGAAUUACUGGGCGUAAAGCGCACGCAGGCGGUCUGACAAGUCAGAUGUGAAAUCCCCGGGCUUAACCUGGGAACUGCAUUUGAAACUGUCAGGCUGGAGUCUUGUAGAGGGGGGUAGAAUUCCAGGUGUAGCGGUGAAAUGCGUAGAGAUCUGGAGGAAUACCGGUGGCGAAGGCGGCCCCCUGGACAAAGACUGACGCUCAGGUGCGAAAGCGUGGGGAGCAAACAGGAUUAGAUACCCCAGUAGUCCCUGUCUCUUAUAC
This 301-nucleotide ribosomal RNA is filed under the name uncultured bacterium. RNAcentral describes it as "partial 16S ribosomal RNA". It matches the Rfam family "Bacterial small subunit ribosomal RNA", at positions 509 to 807 of the family's 1533-position model. The record is from RNAcentral.